GUGUUCACUUUGAUAGCGCACUUCCUAAAAUUGGAACAAUAUAUUGAAGAUCAGCAUGGCCCCUGUGCAAGAACGACAUGCAAAUUCAUGAAAAGAGGUCUUAU
This is a small nuclear RNA of Rhincodon typus (whale shark), 104 nucleotides long. The record is from RefSeq and is a predicted model, not a curated record. NCBI's taxonomy places the organism in Eukaryota, Metazoa, Chordata, Chondrichthyes, Orectolobiformes, Rhincodontidae.